GACGAACGCUGGCGGCGUGCCUAAUACAUGCAAGUUGAGCGCUGAAGGUUGGUACUUGUACCAACUGGAUGAGCAGCGAACGGGUGAGUAACGCGUGGGGAAUCUGCCUUUGAGCGGGGGACAACAUUUGGAAACGAAUGCUAAUACCGCAUAAAAACUUUAAACACAAGUUUUAAGUUUGAAAGAUGCAAUUGCAUCACUCAAAGAUGAUCCCGCGUUGUAUUAGCUAGUUGGUGAGGUAAAGGCUCACCAAGGCGAUGAUACAUAGCCGACCUGAGAGGGUGAGCGGCCAGAUUGGGACUGAGACACGGCACAAACUGCUACGGGAGGCAGCAGUAGGGAAACUUCGGCAAUGGGCGAAAGUCUGACCGAGCAACGCCGAGCGAGUGAAGAAGGUUGCCGGAUCGGAAAACUCGGUUGGUAGGGAGGAACGCUGGUGCGAGUGGAAAGAUCAUCAAGUGACGGUAACUACCCAGAAAGGGACGGCUAACUACGUG
Molecule: ribosomal RNA, 497 nt
Filed under: uncultured bacterium
Lineage: Bacteria
Description: partial 16S ribosomal RNA
Rfam family: Bacterial small subunit ribosomal RNA
Source: RNAcentral